Molecule: long non-coding RNA, 2969 nt
Filed under: Eucalyptus grandis
Lineage: Eukaryota; Viridiplantae; Streptophyta; Magnoliopsida; Myrtales; Myrtaceae
Description: long non-coding RNA (EGRA_LNC000348)
Source: RNAcentral
GCGAGUUUGCUUAUACCAAGAAUCUCCGGGGCGGAAACCACGUGAGCAUUGGAUAGAUAUUUAGUCGCUAUUUUCGACGCAAGAAAUGGAGCCUUCUUCUUCAUCACUGCUCUAAUCCUCGAUAUAAAUUGUGGCAAUACCGCGAAUGCCAUCUGGCAAAGAGGACAAUCUACGACAGUUUCGAAUCUUCAGUUUUUUCAGAGAAGAACAAUUUUGCAGCCAUUCGGGCAAUACCCUCAAGUUGGGACAACCCGCAAUUUUUAUCUUCUGCAGUGUGCUUGCAGAACCUUCGAGCCACCUGGGCAACGAAACUAAUUCCGGCAAUCCCUCGAAUCUGAAGGAUUGAAGCCUCGACGUGGAGCGUGGUUCAUUCCUUUCGCCUUCUGGCAGCCUCAAUCUCUCGCUGUACCCAAUCCAGAGAUGCUCUAAUGCCUGGAGAUUCUUGAUGCCUUGUGGUAAAGAGGCCAACUUCGGACAAUUUGCGAUGGCCAAUACACGGAGCGACGUGAGCGAUUGGAUAUCAUCGAACAAGGUCUCCAAAUUCAUGCAGUCUGCAAUGAAUAGCCACCGCAGAGAGGUCAAGCAUCCUAUUCCACUCUCCGAGAAACGCUGCUGUUUCGUGGUUACCGACAAAAAACGGAGGUUGAUCAUAUUCUUUAUGUUUGCAGGCAAUUCCUCGAGUUCCGUGCACCCGCUAAGAACUAAGCACUGCAGAUUGCGAAGCUUGCAGACCGAUUUGGGGAGUUUCUUGAGAUUAGGGCUAUAGCAUAAAUGAAGAUUCCUCAAAUGCUUUAGAGUGCCAAUAGAACUGGGCAGUAGGUCAAAGGUGGAUUCAUGUAGCACUAGCACUCGCAUGUGCUUGAAUCGCUCAAUGCACGUCUCCAGAAAGAACUCCUCAGAGGAACCCAACUUCUCAGACAUGACGGUACGAACACGGCUGAGUUUGCUCAAGCAGCCAGGUAGUUCAUCUUUCGGUACAUCAAAUGUGUUGAAAAUUGAUAUAUGCCGAGUGCUCGGGGAAAUAUCCUGCGUGCGCUCUUUCGUCAUGUUGCACGAUUCGGUUUGUGCCACUGAAAUGGCAAGUUCGUGAAUGAGAUCAUGCAUCUUGAAGAUCACUACCGGAUAACGUUCCGCGACGACAUCGAAGAAGGAUCUCGAGAACAGCUCCUUCAAGUACUGCCGUCCAAUCUCUUCCAGCUCCUGAUUUUUUCUUCUGGGUUGGAUAAAACCGUUCGAGAUCCAAAAUUGGAUCAAAUCAAAGUUGCUGAACUCGUGAUUCUUUGGGAAUAUCGAGCAGUAAGCAAAACAUUGUUUCAAGUAAGACGGCAUUAGAUCAUAGCUUAUUCUUAGUGAAGGUAAAAUGCCAGUGUCUAAUUGCCAAAUCUCACUAUCUCUUACAAAUUCCCAGUCACUCUUCUGGUUGUGUUUUGAAUACAACAAACUUCCCAAAGUCUUCAUCGCCAGAGGAUUUCCCCCGCACUUCCUCACAAUUUCCUUGCCGAUAACCAUAAGGUCCGGGUGAUUUCUCUCUUUCCCUUGAUCAAACGCACAAUUCACAAACAAAGUCAGAGAAUCCUCCCGCGAAAGGUUGGCCAAAUCAAAAGGGUAGCGAGUGCCCAUGAUUGAGGUGAUAAAUUUAUUCCGCGAAGUGACUAUGAUUUUACUCCCUUUGGAAACACCUCCUAACAAAUAUGUCAAUUGCUCCCACUCCUCCCUCCUCACUUGCCACACAUCGUCCAUUACAAACAAACACCUUUUGUUCUCCACUCUGCUUCUUAGGUCAUUUUGUAGCAUCUCAAGGGUCCGGUUAUCAAAUUUUGCUUCGUUAUUAAGACACUUGAUGAUGUCUCUCAUUGUCUUCUCAAUUUCAAAUUCUAAUGGCAUGGAUAACCAAACUUUGUGUUCGAAAUGCUCCUUUACCCUUUCAUCAUUGUAUAUCAAUUUAGCAAGAGUCGUCUUUCCAGUACCUCCCAUUCCAAUAAUCGGAAGGACUGCUAUAAUUCCAGCUCCACCAUAAUCUGAUCUUUUCAACAGCUCAAUUAUCCUUUCCUUUUCUUCAUCCCUUCCAAUUAUAUUCGAAGUGCGUACAAAAGAGUAAGUUUUCCUCCGCGGAACGAUAGCCUUUUCAUGAAUAUCACUCGACAAGUUGAACUUGAUUUUCUCUUCAUUUAUCCUAUCAAGUCUCUUUCCCAAUUCUUUCAUUUUAUGUGCUAUCUUAAACGAGUACGAGUAGCGUACCUUGAGCGUCAAGUGCUCGGUCCUCCUCACCCGCCCACACAAAGCGUUGGUUUCAAAUUCGUCUAGCACGUCCUCGGCAUCGUAGCAGAAGUCUUUAAGUUUCGACAACCAAAGCCUCACAGCUUCCUGUUUUGUUUGUUUCUGCUCAGCAUCGGCGAGCACCUUCUGGAUCAUCUCUAGGUCAUCCUUGACGCCCCACACUAGUUGAAUUUCUUCAACUGCCAAUGAAGCUAGUUUCUGCAGAAGAGGUCCGAGGAUGCUAGAGACAACCUCAGUCAUGGUUGUGUUUGGUGUUAUUGGUUCUCGAGGAGGUUUGGGGUCACCGCUGUGCAGGAACUAAACUAGUUAUCAGCAGAAGGAUAGCAGAGAAGCAUGAUUUUACCAGGUUAUAUAGGCAGAGACAGAGAAAUACACAUGGUGAAAUGGAGUAAGCACAACGUUAUUCCAAACUGUUGCAUAUUCUCUCAAUUCUUGGUGGAAAUCUGCAAGCAAUUCAAUGCCAUUCCAAUUAGAUUUGGAAUAUCCUUCGUCUAAUGAAAGAUAAAGCAAAAGUAGCCUGAAUUCUGCUACCUUUCUCUUUAAUUUUUACUACAUUAUUUUCUUUGUAACCCUGUUCCUCGUAGACAAAUAUGUGCACAGAUAAGAAUAAGCUCUUUUUAUUGCUUGAUCUCUGUAUUAGAGGCCCACUCUUUCGCCCUUCUUUGGUUUAGAAGUAUGUGCUGUUUUCCUCU